This is a long non-coding RNA of Raphanus sativus (radish), 572 nucleotides long. RefSeq lists it as uncharacterized. The record is from RefSeq and is a predicted model, not a curated record. The transcript has 2 exons. Lineage: Eukaryota; Viridiplantae; Streptophyta; Magnoliopsida; Brassicales; Brassicaceae.
AUAUGGACCACAUUAGAGCAUCUCAUAUUAUAUUCAUUGUGGGCUUUUCAUUAUCAAGAUAUUGGAGAAAUUAGCCCAAGGGACAGAUUCUUUUUAUUUGUUGUUUCUCUUAUCUUUCUUGUUCCUUCUUUUUUGUCUUUUGGUCUCUUUCUCGAGUUCUUCUCUUUCUCUCUCUUUUUCUGAUUUUUUUUUUUGGAAAUAUUUCAUUACUUUGUUUGUGUCUCUUGUCUCUGCCUUUUUGCUCAAGAAUUGUUGCUGCUGUAAACUCAUGAUCUAUCCAUCUUUCAGUUAUUUGUAAUGUAAGCAUUCAUCCGUCGAGGCCACCACUGCCGACCGUGACGGCCACCACCACUACCUAAAGAAAUAUUAGUUAAAAGAUAUUCACUCUUUAUUGAAAUUUUUUAUUAAAUUAUUUAUAUGCCAAUUUCUUAUGUAAUUUAAUUUUUUUAGUUGAAGAGUUCAUUUUUGUAUAUGGUUGUCACAUUUGUACUUUUGUGUUUCACUUUUUACCUUUCUCCAAUUCAAAGCUGAAUUCAGAACAUGCAAGGAAAACCAAUUUCUAUUUGCCUCUA